UGGGGAAUUUUGGACAAUGGGCGAAAGCCUGAUCCGGCCAUGCCGCGUGAGUGAAGAAGGCCUUCGGGUUGUAAAGCUCUUUCGGCCGGAACGAAAUCGCGUACGUGAAUAACGUGCGUGGAUGACGGUACUGGAAGAAGAAGCACCGGCUAACUACGUGCCAGCAGCCGCGGUAAUACGUAGGGUGCGAGCGUUAAUCGGAAUUACUGGGCGUAAAGCGUGCGCAGGCGGUUUCGUAAGUCAGAUGUGAAAUCCCCGGGCUUAACCUGGGAACUGCGUUUGAAACUACGGAGCUAGAGUGCGGCAGAGGGGGGUGGAAUUCCACGUGUAGCAGUGAAAUGCGUAGAUAUGUGGAGGAACACCGAUGGCGAAGGCAGCCCCCUGGGCCGACACUGACGCUCAGGCACGAAAGCGUGGGGAGCAAACAGGAUUAGAUACCCUGGUAGUCCACGCCCUAAACUAUGUCAACUAGUUGUCGGGGAAGCAAUUCCUUGGUAACGAAGCUAACGCGUGAAGUUGACCGCCUGGGGAGUACGGUCGCAAGAUUA
This 548-nucleotide ribosomal RNA is filed under the name uncultured bacterium. Its description in RNAcentral is "bacterial SSU rRNA". It matches the Rfam family "Bacterial small subunit ribosomal RNA", at positions 355 to 896 of the family's 1533-position model. The record is from RNAcentral.